This 301-nucleotide ribosomal RNA is filed under the name uncultured bacterium. RNAcentral describes it as "partial 16S ribosomal RNA". It matches the Rfam family "Bacterial small subunit ribosomal RNA", at positions 509 to 807 of the family's 1533-position model. The record is from RNAcentral.
CAGCCGCCGCGGUAAUACGGAGGGUGCAAGCGUUAAUCGGAAUUACUGGGCGUAAAGCGCACGCAGGCGGUUUGUUAAGUCAGAUGUGAAAUCCCCGAGCUUAACUUGGGAACUGCAUUUGAAACUGGCAAGCUAGAGUCUUGUAGAGGGUGGUAGAAUUCCAGGUGUAGCGGUGAAAUGCGUAGAGAUCUGGAGGAAUACCGGUGGCGAAGGCGGCCCCCUGGACAAAGACUGACGCUCAGGCACGAAAGCGUGGGGAGCAAACAGGAUUAGAUACCCCUGUAGUCCCUGUCUCUUAUAC